This 782-nucleotide long non-coding RNA is filed under the name Olea europaea (common olive). Its description in RNAcentral is "long non-coding RNA (OEUR_LNC012486)". The record is from RNAcentral. Lineage: Eukaryota; Viridiplantae; Streptophyta; Magnoliopsida; Lamiales; Oleaceae.
UUUUAGUCUAUUAUGAUGCUGCUCAGGCGCUUGAAUAGAAAGUAUUGUAGGAUACUUGUACUGUGCUCGGUUUAACACUCAAGAAUUUGGACUGUUUUAGCAUUAGUUUAAUUUUACUUCUCUAUGGUCAGAGUAUGUCCACCAUAUGAUAAUUCCAUUGUUUCACCCAGGCUCAGCUAAAAUAUUUUUUCAACCCGUGAUAGGGAAGCAGCCUUUGUUUGAUAUCCAUAUUAAUUCAAUUGUAAGUUCCUUUAUAAAACCGUCGUAUACUUUAUCUGGUAUUUGGAUGAACGAACAUGUAUUUUGAAAUAUACUACUUGUACAUAAUGCGAUGUUCAUAAUGGUGUCCACCCCCCUCACAUGGAGGAGGAUCCACUUCGGAUAAAUUAUAUUUUAUUCGAAAUGGGUCCUUCUUUAUGUGAGUAAGGUGGACACCGUUAUAGACACCCAGAUGUACGUAUAGCAUAACCCAUGUAUUUUUAUAUAGAGGACUCUUUGUUGCAUUGUAGAGCAUGGCAUAUUAUACAAGAAUGUAGACUAAACCUGCAGAUAUAGGUACGAAGAUACAAAAGAUUAAGAUACACAAAGUUCAAUUCUACUUUUGCGUUUUUCUUAAAUUAUAUUUGAUAUUCUGCCCUUUUUUUGUGUGUUGCUUUCACAUAAAGGUGUAAUGUUGCCCCGAUUGGCCCACAUUCGAGGUGGCUCGCACCAUGGCCCGAUACUGCCCGAAUCCUUCUUCCAAACCAAGUAGAUAGGUGUGUAGGAAAUAGAAGUGAACUUAG